RNAcentral lists this long non-coding RNA (1256 nucleotides) under Mytilus galloprovincialis (Mediterranean mussel). Lineage: Eukaryota; Metazoa; Mollusca; Bivalvia; Mytilida; Mytilidae. The record is from RNAcentral.
AGAUCAUCUACGACUAUCUUAAGAACAAAUCAAAAGGAUAAGAAAAUGGCAGAAAGUGGCGUUCGAGAAUACGGAGAAUGUAAGUAUUUAGCCUGUGUGUUCAGGACGAGCAACAUAAAACUAGUGGAUUGUUUAAAUACAAAUUGAGUUAUAAUGAAUAUUGAUAAAUUAACUUGCAUUUUGAACGGACUUUCGAAUUAACAAAGCAAGCUUUAAAUGGUAGGAGAUCAAGUUGUAAUAUAUUUUUAUACGACCGCAAACAAAUUGUAUCCUGUCGUCAUCGUUCGAAGACAGUUAGUUUCAGGACAAUAGCUUUAAUAUUAGUGAAUAGAAUUCUAGGAAAUUUAAACACAAGGUUUAUAACCACAAAAGGAAGGUCGGGGUUAAUUUUGGAGGUUAUGGUCAAAAAGGGGCCAAAAUAAGCAUUUUUCUAGUUUCCAAACAAUAACUUAUGUUUAAGUAAAUGAAUCUCUCUGAAAAUAAACCACAAGUUUUCAUACCACAAAUGGAUGGUUAUGAUUGACUUUGGGGUUUAUGGCCUAACCUUUUUAGGCAUUAGAGGACUAAAGGAUUUCCUGGUUAUUGGAUAAGUAAGACAAUUUAAAAGCAGUUUAAGGGAGGUAAUUCAAACACAUUCAAAUUACAAUGUUGUGUAUGCUUGGAUUACCUCCCUUCUACUGCUUGUAAAUUAUGUAUAAAGAAAUGUUGUAUUGUCUUGAUGUGAUUAGCUGUCAAUUUAUUUUUAGAAGAUACUAUUGAUUAAUAUUAAUUUUAGCCAUGAUAAUGUAAGUAAUUUUCUAUUUUUUUCUCCAAUACGCAACAGCAUAGUGUAUAAUUGCUCAAAAGCAAAAAAGAAAUAAAUUUAAUAUAAAUUCAAAUCAUACAUGUCAUAUAGCCAAUUCUAAGUUCUUUGACUACAGUCUUUUAAAAUUUGUGUGUUACCUUUUUACAUGUACAAUAUCGAAAAGAAAACAUACGCAUAGUUGUAUAUAUGGUGUAACAAACUAACAUUUGAUUCAUUCUACUUUCAAUUGUAGCCAUCAUUUUCGAGGACAAAUAAAUUAACAGCUGGAGCUUACAAAAUAUUCCAAGAUAAGCAUCUACUCAGUGAUGACGAUGAGAAAAAGUCAAGAAAAAGAGGAAUCGGAAGACUCUGAUGAAGAUUUCGACGGCUGAUACGGUGCUUUUUGUCCGCAAUUCGCUUUUUGUCCGCUUUUGCUUUUUGUCCGAUAAUUUUGCUUUUUGUCCGAAACUUU